This 818-nucleotide ribosomal RNA is filed under the name Salmonella enterica. Its description in RNAcentral is "partial 23S ribosomal RNA". It matches the Rfam family "Bacterial large subunit ribosomal RNA", at positions 1985 to 2802 of the family's 2925-position model. The record is from RNAcentral. Lineage: Bacteria; Pseudomonadati; Pseudomonadota; Gammaproteobacteria; Enterobacterales; Enterobacteriaceae. RNAcentral also lists the same sequence under 1 other name.
GACCUGCACGAAUGGCGUAAUGAUGGCCAGGCUGUCUCCACCCGAGACUCAGUGAAAUUGAACUCGCUGUGAAGAUGCAGUGUACCCGCGGCAAGACGGAAAGACCCCGUGAACCUUUACUAUAGCUUGACACUGAACAUUGAGCCUUGAUGUGUAGGAUAGGUGGGAGGCUUUGAAGUGUGGACGCCAGUCUGCAUGGAGCCGACCUUGAAAUACCACCCUUUAAUGUUUGAUGUUCUAACGUGGACCCGUAAUCCGGGUUGCGGACAGUGUCUGGUGGGUAGUUUGACUGGGGCGGUCUCCUCCUAAAGAGUAACGGAGGAGCACGAAGGUUGGCUAAUCCUGGUCGGACAUCAGGAGGUUAGUGCAAUGGCAUAAGCCAGCUUGACUGCGAGCGUGACGGCGCGAGCAGGUGCGAAAGCAGGUCAUAGUGAUCCGGUGGUUCUGAAUGGAAGGGCCAUCGCUCAACGGAUAAAAGGUACUCCGGGGAUAACAGGCUGAUACCGCCCAAGAGUUCAUAUCGACGGCGGUGUUUGGCACCUCGAUGUCGGCUCAUCACAUCCUGGGGCUGAAGUAGGUCCCAAGGGUAUGGCUGUUCGCCAUUUAAAGUGGUACGCGAGCUGGGUUUAGAACGUCGUGAGACAGUUCGGUCCCUAUCUGCCGUGGGCGCUGGAGAACUGAGGGGGGCUGCUCCUAGUACGAGAGGACCGGAGUGGACGCAUCACUGGUGUUCGGGUUGUCAUGCCAAUGGCACUGCCCGGUAGCUAAAUGCGGAAGAGAUAAGUGCUGAAAGCAUCUAAGCACGAAACUUGCCCCGA